RNAcentral lists this ribosomal RNA (492 nucleotides) under uncultured bacterium. Its description in RNAcentral is "partial 16S ribosomal RNA". It matches the Rfam family "Bacterial small subunit ribosomal RNA", at positions 29 to 507 of the family's 1533-position model. The record is from RNAcentral.
AGUGAACGCUGGCGGUAGGCCUAACACAUGCAAGUCGAACGGCAGCUUAGUACGAUCUUGCGCUAACGCGUGGCGAGUGGCUUACGGGCGGGGGAGUCACCCGAAGCUACUCUUUCGUGGGGGGUGGCGUAGCGAUACGUACGCUAAUAUAGCAUACCACAUUCUUGUUUAAUCAGUGAAACUUCGUUCCUUGCUCGAAUUAAUGCGCCGACGUCUGAUUAGCCAGUUGGUGGGGUAAAGGCCCACGAAGGCGACGACCAGAAGCUGGUCUGAGAGGAGGUUCACCCACACUGGAACUGGAACACGGUCCAGACUCCUAGGGGAGGCAGCAGAGGGGAAUAUUGGACAAUGGGCGCAAGCCUGCUCCAGCCAUACCGCGUGGGUGAAGAAGGCCUUCGGGUUGUAAGGCCCUUUCGUUGGGAAAGACAAGCAGCAGGUUAAUACCCCGCUGUUCUGACGGUACCCAAAGAAUAAGCACCGGCUAACUUCGUG